CUCUGCUCUGUUGGGCCCUUGAGCAAAGCCCUUAACAUGCAAUUGCUGAGCGCUUUAAGUAGUGAGAAAAGUGCCAUAUAAAUGCAAAGAAUUAUUAAGGUGGCACUGAAAUCCAAGACAUUGAAGCUGUGAGGCAGCCAUGCCAACCAUGACACAACUCCACAUGUUUGAGAACAGACUCACAUAAUAUAAGAUUGUCCGUCUGUAAUACUGUCUCCCAUUCAGAUCUGGUUCCUUCAUGUAUCCACUGUUGCCAGGAUAAUCACUGAGUCUCCACAGUCCUGAUCAGCAAAAGGCAAGUGUAGAAAAUGAAUGAGUGAAUAAAUGAUGAUACGGAUUUUCACUGUUAAAAUGUAUGUUAUCUUGAAUUUAGCUUGAACCUCAUCUAAGAAACCGAUACAACUUAGUAGGUGGCACUAGGCUGCCAUAUCCUUAAAUUAUCUGAAUUCAUCAUCUCCUUGGUCAUUUAGGUAUGUCUGUCAUAAGUACAAUUAGGUUUUAGGCUCAUAGUUGUAAAAAAAAAUCUCCAGUCAUGGUAAAUGAACAAAAACGCAUGUGUGAAUAUUCAUUUAUUUUGAUGCCAGUGCUCAGUUUAAAAGCACUGAGGCAUCAGUAGAGGUGUGUUUUAAACACACCACAUUAUUCCUGUUGCAGACUUGAUGUUCAAGGUUUGUGCCAACAACCACAUGCAUAUUAGAACCUCAUGAGAUUCCACAAUGUGUGUGGAGGUCAUAGAAGACAAGAGCCAAGAAAAGUACUGGUGGAAGGUGCUCUUGUCAGAUUUGUAGGAUUUUUAACCUACAGGUUGCAUUAAACACCUUCUGGCUGCCAUAAAGACCUACAAAGUGACACUUUCAAUAAAAGCAUGGGUCUAGUUGCUUAUCCUUUGUUUUUUUUUUUCUUUUGUACUUGGCCCCGCCCAUCUGUGAGUCAUGUGAUGGGGAGGCAGGGAAAUAAAAAGGGGAGAUCAAAUGUAUAGAAAGCUCAUGCAAUGCGCCAUCAUCUGAAAACCUCUCAUUUUAUUUCUGUCUGUUCUAGCAUGUGAUUGUCUUAUAAUAUGUGUUGCAUAGCGGAGCACUACGAUUUGUCUCUGCUCCAGCCAAUCCCUGACGCGUAGGACCAGCAGGGGCAGAGCUCUAGCUCAUUGCUGACAGGGUUGUGUAAUUAAAGGGCAUAAAGAUGGAUCUUCCUUUUAAUAUUUUGUGUAGGGUAUACACAUCAGUAAGAAAGGCAACGUGUGCAUAAUACGCUUCUUAAGUAUUUGUCUAUGGAAAUCAAAAUAAAACUUACAGGUAUUUAGAAUGACAUAAUUGUAUCCUUGAAAACUAAGAGAGGUGAGCUUCCUUCUAGAUAAUGGCCAUGGUAGAUUUCCUAGUAAGGUAUGACUAGUCACUCAGGCUUUCUUUAAUCCUUCUCCUUUUUAUUACUUAAAGUAGGCUCAACAUUUUAUAAAGAGUACGGAUUUCAAACUUGUUACUGACAAGAGGUUUUGUUUCAGUAGGUUUUGAUUAUGUUUAAGAUAAAUGUAGCUGCUAUGCUAAAUUAAAUUGGCAAACUGACUUAAAAUAUUAAAACACUUGAAGAUUUUAGUAAUAGUUUGCAAAAAAAAUAUUUUGUAAUAGCACUGCAAUGUUAUUGGAAUACAAUGUUACCUGUUGAAACUGUACAUUUUCUGUACAUAUUGUGAAAACAGGACUUGCACUGAGAUGACACACAUGCACGAGGACGCCUUUAUUUUCUUACUGUAUUGUACUGUAUCGUUAAUAAACUUGUGGUUUAAUGCCUACAAUUACAUUUGUGAUCAUUUUUACUUUUUUUUUUUUUUUUUUUUUAAAAAGGUCUGCACACUUUAAAUAAACAACCAUAAUUGUAAGAAUUCUUUGUAUAUUUCAGUUAGAAAGCCAAAGUCAUGUAUACCUGUGGAAGUCUUUGUCAAAAACUGUGCUUGGCGCCUUGGACAGUUCCAGCUGUAAACUGUGUGUGCAUCUCACCGCCUGGGAUUUCUUCAAGUAUGUGAACCAAUUUAAGACCUGAAGCCAUCAUCACGCCAGGCACAAAGAGCGCAGACGGACAUCGGACAAGCCGUGAACUGAACUCGCAUGAAGACUUCAAGAAAGGAAAAAAGCUAAACCUUCCUGCUCACUUUCACGUUUUCUGUGGUGGCCACCUGCGCCGCCACCA
This is a long non-coding RNA of Polypterus senegalus (gray bichir), 2181 nucleotides long. RefSeq lists it as uncharacterized. The transcript is spliced from 3 exons. The record is from RefSeq and is a predicted model, not a curated record. NCBI's taxonomy places the organism in Eukaryota, Metazoa, Chordata, Cladistia, Polypteriformes, Polypteridae.